GGCCAGGUAGUUCAGUUGGUUAGAGCAUUGUCCUCGUAUGCCAAGGUUUCAGGUUCGAUCCCUGGUCAGGACA
Molecule: non-coding RNA, 73 nt
Organism: Myotis brandtii (Brandt's bat)
Lineage: Eukaryota; Metazoa; Chordata; Mammalia; Chiroptera; Vespertilionidae
Source: Rfam